AAGACUAUAUUUUCAGGAAACAUUUCUACAGUUCUUUACUUGGAAAUGUGUUUCGAAAGUGUUUGUCUUCCACCCAUGAUAAUGAGCUGUAAUGCUCUUUUCUGAGAAUGAAUUAAAAACUGAGCUGUGAUUUUGGUAGCAGAUCUGUCAUUGAUGAAUGUUCUCUAUUGCUUUUAGCAAUACUGACAAAAGGGGUAUGAUCUGAGUGGU
This 210-nucleotide small nucleolar RNA is filed under the name Sinocyclocheilus grahami. Its description in RNAcentral is "Small nucleolar RNA U3 (ENSSGRG00000037794.1)". It matches the Rfam family "Small nucleolar RNA U3". Rfam says of the family: Small nucleolar RNAs (snoRNAs) are involved in the processing and modification of rRNA in the nucleolus. The record is from Rfam by way of RNAcentral. Lineage: Eukaryota; Metazoa; Chordata; Actinopteri; Cypriniformes; Cyprinidae.